This 565-nucleotide ribosomal RNA is filed under the name uncultured archaeon. Its description in RNAcentral is "bacterial SSU rRNA". It matches the Rfam family "Archaeal small subunit ribosomal RNA", at positions 314 to 879 of the family's 1478-position model. The record is from RNAcentral.
CGCGAUUCGCCUUGGGGUGCACCAGGCGCGAAAACUUUACAAUGCCGGCAACGGCGAUAAGGGAACCUCGAGUGCCAGGUUACAAAUCUGGCUGUCGUGAUGCCUAAAAAGCAUUGCAUAGCAAGGGCCGGGCAAGACCGGUGCCAGCCGCCGCGGUAACACCGGCGGCUCGAGUGGUAACCGUUAUUAUUGGGUCUAAAGGGUCUGUAGCCGGCCGGGUAAGUCUCUUGGGAAAUCUGGCAGCUUAACUGUCAGGCUUUCAGGAGAUACUGCCUGGCUCGAGGCCGGGAGAGGUGAGAGGUACUUCAGGGGUAGGGGUGAAAUCUUGUAAUCCUUGAAGGACCACCAGUGGCGAAGGCGUCUCACCAGAACGGACCUGACGGCAAGGGACGAAAGCUAGGGGCACGAACCGGAUUAGAUACCCGGGUAGUCCUAGCCGUAAACGAUACUCGCUAGGUGUCGGCCACGGUGCGACCGUGGUCGGUGCCGUAGGGAAGCCGUGAAGCGAGCCACCUGGGAAGUACGGCCGCAAGGCUGAAACUUAAAGGAAUUGGCGGGGGAGCAC